GUUUGAUCCUGGCUCAGAGCGAACGUUUGCGGCGGGGCUUAACACAUGCAAGUCGAACGAGAAUCCCUUCGGGGAGGAAAGUGGCGCACGGGUGCGUAACACGUGGAUGACCUACCCCUUGGUUCGGGACAACAGCGGGAAACUGCUGCUAAUACCGGAUGUGUCGUAGCAAUACGAGAAAGGCCCGCAAGGGUCGCCAGAGGACGGGUCCGCGUCCCAUCAGCUAGUUGGUGAGGUAAUGGCUCACCAAGGCGAAGACGGGUAGCUGGUCUGAGAGGAUGAUCAGCCACACUGGAACUGAGACACGGUCCAGACUCCUACGGGAGGCAGCAGUGGGGAAUAUUGCGCAAUGGGCGAAAGCCUGACGCAGCCACGCCGCGUGAGCGAUGAAGGUCUUCGGAUCGUAAAGCUCUGUGGGGGGAGAAGAAGAAAGUCGGUGAAGAGCCGGCCUGACGGUAUCCCCUUAGCAAGCACCGGCUAACUCCGUGCCAGCAGCCGCGGUAAUACGGAGGUGCAAACGUUG
This 523-nucleotide ribosomal RNA is filed under the name uncultured bacterium. RNAcentral's name for it is "bacterial SSU rRNA". It matches the Rfam family "Bacterial small subunit ribosomal RNA", at positions 11 to 543 of the family's 1533-position model. The record is from RNAcentral.